This 438-nucleotide ribosomal RNA is filed under the name uncultured bacterium. RNAcentral's name for it is "partial 16S ribosomal RNA". It matches the Rfam family "Bacterial small subunit ribosomal RNA", at positions 339 to 795 of the family's 1533-position model. The record is from RNAcentral.
CUACGGGGGGCUGCAGUGAGGAAUAUUGCACAAUGGGGGGAACCCUGAUGCAGCAACGCCGCGUGGAGGAUGACGCAUUUCGGUGUGUAAACUCCUUUUAUAUGUCAAGAAAAUGACGGUAGCAUAUGAAUAAGCACCGGCUAACUCCGUGCCAGCAGCCGCGGUAAUACGGAGGGUGUAAGCGUUACUCGGAAUCACUGGGCGUAAAGGACGCGUAGGCGGGUUGGAAAGUCAGGUGUGAAAUCCUACAGCUUAACUGUAGAACUGCACUUGAAACUUCUAAUCUAGAGUAUGGAGGGGGAGAUGGAAUUAGUGGUGUAGGGGUAAAAUCCGUAGAUAUCACUAGGAAUACCUAAAGCGAAGGCGAUCUCCUGGAACAUUACUGACGCUAAGGCGUGAAAGCGUGGGGAGCAAACAGGAUUAGAUACCCCGGUAGUC